GGAUCGAUAGCUCAGUGGUAGAGCGAGAGAUUGCAGUACCGCGCAAGUAUCUCUAGGCCCCGCGUUCGAAUCGCGGUCGGUCCU
Molecule: transfer RNA, 84 nt
Rfam family: tRNA
About the family: Transfer RNA (tRNA) molecules are approximately 80 nucleotides in length. Their secondary structure includes four short double-helical elements and three loops (D, anti-codon, and T loops).
Source: Rfam